GGUCUUAGUGCAAAUGUAAAGGGGUUUAGUAAAGUUUUUUUUGCAUUCAUGGAAAAAAUGGCUACUGUCAAGUACACUUUAAGACACCGUGUAACUAUAUUUCCUUCUAUAUUGACAUAUUGGUCAUUCCUAUCGCAAAUACCUCCCUGAAAGGGUUAUUCUGAAGUAGACAAUUUUUUAUUUUCUCUUAUACUGUUUAUAUAGCAUAACCCGAAAGUAUUAAACAAUCUAAUGUUCCGCUUCUUGCAAUUUUCUGACAAUAAUGAAUACUUACUGACCCUUUAUACAAUGCUGUACAUUAAAAAAAAAUGUAUUUUCUCUGACUGAAGCCG
Molecule: long non-coding RNA, 332 nt
Filed under: Mytilus galloprovincialis (Mediterranean mussel)
Lineage: Eukaryota; Metazoa; Mollusca; Bivalvia; Mytilida; Mytilidae
Source: RNAcentral